RNAcentral lists this ribosomal RNA (393 nucleotides) under uncultured bacterium. Its description in RNAcentral is "bacterial SSU rRNA". It matches the Rfam family "Bacterial small subunit ribosomal RNA", at positions 30 to 419 of the family's 1533-position model. The record is from RNAcentral.
AUUGAACGCUGGCGGCAGGCCUAACACAUGCAAGUCGAGCGGAUGAGUGGAGCUUGCUCCAUGAUUCAGCGGCGGACGGGUGAGUAAUGCCUAGGAAUCUGCCUGGUAGUGGGGGGACAACGUUUCGAAAGGAACGCUAAUACCGCAUACGUCCUACGGGAGAAAGCAGGGGACCUUCGGGCCUUGCGCUAUCAGAUGAGCCUAGGUCGGAUUAGCUAGUAGGUGAGGUAAUGGCUCACCUAGGCGACGAUCCGUAACUGGUCUGAGAGGAUGAUCAGUCACACUGGAACUGAGACACGGUCCAGACUCCUACGGAGGCAGCAGUGGGAUAUUGGACAAAUGGGCGGAAAGGACCUCGGAUCCAGCAAUGCCGCGUGAGUGAUGAAGGCCUUA